GACGAACGAGGGAGGCGUGCUUAACACAUGCAAGUCGAACGGAAAGGCCCUGCUUUUGUGGGGUGCUCGAGUGGCGAACGGGUGAGUAACACGUGAGUAACCUGCCCUUGACUUUGGGAUAACUUCAGGAAACUGGGGCUAAUACCGGAUAGGAGCUCCUGCUGCAUGGUGGGGGUUGGAAAGUUUCGGCGGUUGGGGAUGGACUCGCGGCUUAUCAGCUUGUUGGUGGGGUAGUGGCUUACCAAGGCUUUGACGGGUAGCCGGCCUGAGAGGGUGACCGGCCACAUUGGGACUGAGAUACGGCCCAGACUCCUACGGGAGGCAGCAGUGGGGAAUAUUGCACAAUGGGCGGAAGCCUGAUGCAGCAACGCCGCGUGCGGGAUGACGGCCUUCGGGUUGUAAACCGCUUUCGCCUGUGACGAAGCGUGAGUGACGGUAAUGUGUAAAGAAGCACCGGCUAACUACGUG
This 468-nucleotide ribosomal RNA is filed under the name uncultured bacterium. RNAcentral's name for it is "partial 16S ribosomal RNA". It matches the Rfam family "Bacterial small subunit ribosomal RNA", at positions 28 to 507 of the family's 1533-position model. The record is from RNAcentral.